This 253-nucleotide ribosomal RNA is filed under the name uncultured bacterium. RNAcentral's name for it is "partial 16S ribosomal RNA". It matches the Rfam family "Bacterial small subunit ribosomal RNA", at positions 524 to 776 of the family's 1533-position model. The record is from RNAcentral.
UACGGAGGGUGCAAGCGUUAAUCGGAAUUACUGGGCGUAAAGCGCACGCAGGUGGCUGAGUCAGUCGAUUGUGAAAGCCCUGGGCUUAACCUGGGAAUUGCAGUCGAUACUACUCGGCUCGAGUAUGGGAGAGGGCAGUGGAAUUCCCGGUGUAGCGGUGAAAUGCGCAGAUAUCAGGAAGAACACCCGUGGCGAAGGCGGCUCUCUGGGACGGUACUGACGCUGAGGAGCGAAAGCCAGGGGAGCAAACGGG